RNAcentral lists this ribosomal RNA (764 nucleotides) under Staphylococcus pasteuri. RNAcentral's name for it is "bacterial SSU rRNA". It matches the Rfam family "Bacterial small subunit ribosomal RNA", at positions 84 to 835 of the family's 1533-position model. The record is from RNAcentral. Lineage: Bacteria; Bacillati; Bacillota; Bacilli; Caryophanales; Staphylococcaceae.
CUUUGACGUUAGCGGCGGACGGGUGAGUAACACGUGGAUAACCUACCUAUAAGACUGGGAUAACUUCGGGAAACCGGAGCUAAUACCGGAUAAGAUUUUGAACCGCAUGGUUCAAUAGUGAAAGACGGCCUUGCUGUCACUUAUAGAUGGAUCCGCGCCGUAUUAGCUAGUUGGUAAGGUAACGGCUUACCAAGGCAACGAUACGUAGCCGACCUGAGAGGGUGAUCGGCCACACUGGAACUGAGACACGGUCCAGACUCCUACGGGAGGCAGCAGUAGGGAAUCUUCCGCAAUGGGCGAAAGCCUGACGGAGCAACGCCGCGUGAGUGAUGAAGGUCUUCGGAUCGUAAAACUCUGUUAUCAGGGAAGAACAAACGUGUAAGUAACUGUGCACGUCUUGACGGUACCUGAUCAGAAAGCCACGGCUAACUACGUGCCAGCAGCCGCGGUAAUACGUAGGUGGCAAGCGUUAUCCGGAAUUAUUGGGCGUAAAGCGCGCGUAGGCGGUUUUUUAAGUCUGAUGUGAAAGCCCACGGCUCAACCGUGGAGGGUCAUUGGAAACUGGAAAACUUGAGUGCAGAAGAGGAAAGUGGAAUUCCAUGUGUAGCGGUGAAAUGCGCAGAGAUAUGGAGGAACACCAGUGGCGAAAGCGACUUUCUGGUCUGUAACUGACGCUGAUGUGCGAAAGCGUGGGGAUCAAACAGGAUUAGAUACCCUGGUAGUCCACGCCGUAAACGAUGAGUGCUAAGUGUUAGGGGGUUUCC